CUAGCAUCCAGCCUUCUAUUUGCGGUUAUUCCCAGGGAAUCUCCUGCAUGCUGGGUGUGACCACCCACACUUGUCAUCUCUUGGAACAACAUCCCCAGGAGGCAGAUCUGCUGUUAGAGGAGAAUUCUUCUGUCCUAGCUGUGUCUCUGUGAUCUGUGGAUGAGGAUGGGAAAGGACCACUCAAUCAACUGGGGUGUACAAAAUGGAGUUUGAGAAGGUCUCAUAUCCAGGUCGUUUUGAAGCAAAGUCCAAGCAUUGUAUCACUUCAUCUGCAAAUAUUUCAAUAAGUACCCAAAAGGUAGCUGUUUAUAUGCACGAUCUCCUGCUGUGAGCGCCUUAAAG
Long non-coding RNA from Symphalangus syndactylus (siamang), 342 nucleotides. RefSeq lists it as uncharacterized. The record is from RefSeq and is a predicted model, not a curated record. NCBI's taxonomy places the organism in Eukaryota, Metazoa, Chordata, Mammalia, Primates, Hylobatidae.